GGUGUAGUAGCCAAGAUGGUUAAGGCAAGGGUCUGCAAAACCCUCACGCGCGGGUUCGAAUCCCGCCUACACCU
Molecule: transfer RNA, 74 nt
Filed under: Ignavibacteriota bacterium
Lineage: Bacteria; Pseudomonadati; Ignavibacteriota
Description: Ignavibacteriae bacterium (activated sludge metagenome) tRNA-Cys
Rfam family: tRNA
About the family: Transfer RNA (tRNA) molecules are approximately 80 nucleotides in length. Their secondary structure includes four short double-helical elements and three loops (D, anti-codon, and T loops). Further hydrogen bonds mediate the characteristic L-shaped molecular structure. tRNAs have two regions of fundamental functional importance: the anti-codon, which is responsible for specific mRNA codon recognition, and the 3' end, to which the tRNAs corresponding amino acid is attached (by aminoacyl-tRNA synthetases). tRNAs cope with the degeneracy of the genetic code in two manners: having more than one tRNA (with a specific anti-codon) for a particular amino acid; and 'wobble' base-pairing, i.e. permitting non-standard base-pairing at the 3rd anti-codon position.
Source: RNAcentral